Molecule: long non-coding RNA, 5287 nt
Organism: Dreissena polymorpha
Lineage: Eukaryota; Metazoa; Mollusca; Bivalvia; Myida; Dreissenidae
Exons: 2
Source: RefSeq, a predicted model, not a curated record
GGUUUUCCGAAGGAAAAAACUGGUUAUUAGAUUGGCGAAUGCGGGCGGGCUGGCUGGCUGGCGGGCUGGCUGGCUGGCGGGCUGGCGGAAUAAGCUUGUCCGGGCCAUAACUAUGUCGUUCAUUGUCAGAUUUUAAAAUCAUUUGGCACAUUUGUUCACCAUCAUUGGACGGUGUGUCGCGCGAAAUAAUUACGUCGAUAUCUCCAAGGUCAAGGUCACACUUUGAGUUCAAAGGUCAAAAAUGGCCAUAAAUGAGCUUGUCCUGGCCAUAACUAUGUCAUUCAUUGUGAGAUUUUAAAAUCAUUUGGCACAUUUGUUCACCAUCAUGGGACGGUGUGUCCCACGAAAGAAUCACGUCAAUAUCUCCAAUGUCAAGGUCGCCACGACUAAAAAUAGAUUUAAAAAAAAAAAAAAACUUACAAAGGGGGUUAAUUUUUUUUGGUCAUUUCAAAAGUUCAGUUUUCUCUCUUUAUCAGAUUUUUUUUUCACAAUGAAAACCUGGUUUUGUGACAAUUUUGUCCGUUGUCUUGGAUUGUCCUUGGUUUGGAUGUCUGAAACAGAUAUUGUUUUUGGCUUUCUAAAAAAUGGAUGUGUUGGUACCUGAUGAAACCUGUGGAAAGUUUAUGAAGCUAUACUUAUCAGGAAAGCAGUUUGUCAUUACUAUAUAUUUAUAAUAUAUUUGAACUGAUUUUUAUGUCCCCCACCCACUAUAGUGGGGGACAUAUUGUUUUUGCCCUGUCUGUUGGUUUGCGCCAACUUUAACAUUUGCAAUAACUUUUGCAAUAUUGAAGAUAGCAACUUGAUAUUUGGCAUGCAUAUGUAUCUCAUGGAGCUGCAAAUUUUGAGUGGUGAAAGGGCAAGGUCAUCCUUCAAGGUCAAAGGUCAACAAAAAAAAUCAAAGCGGCGCAGAAGGGGACAUAGUGUUUCUGACAAACACAUUUCUUGUUGUUUUUGGUGUUGAUGAUGCUCCUUUCACAUUUAAUAUAAUUUAAUGUUGUUCUUGUAAAGAUUGGUCGUGUUGGUAAGUCCGCAUACAAUUCUACAAGUUUGUAAAGUGAACUACUUACAAAGUUUUUAAGUUAUUGAUUUGAAUUCGAUAAAUAUACGAUCAUUAUUAAGUAUAGGCGUGCACGACAUCAUGUUCUUCGUCCUCAGUGACCCACACUUGUAAGUCUUCCCGGACAUAUCUGGAAUAUAUUUGAGUCGAGUUCCGUGAAAAGGGGAUAAUUGUGCGUAAAGUGUCGUCCCGGAUUACCCUGUGCAGUCCGAAUAGGCUAAUCAGGGACGACCAGGGCCGUACCCAGGAAUUGUUGACUGGGGGGGCCCAAACGGAGAGGGUGCGGGAGGGGUUGCCCCUCCCUAAUAGAUUUUUUUUAUUAGGCACUGUUCAAGGUGAAUUUUAAUGCAUAUAGAAACAUAUGUUGUGUUAUAAAUUAUGGAUAUAUAACAAGUAAAUCAGCACCUUUCUGAAGUCUAAAGCUUUAACCAUUACGGGCCGUCCAUAAAGUAUGUCACGCUCCAGGUGGGGGGAGGAUGCGUAAGUAAGUGACAGUUUGCGACAUGGGGGAGGGGAGUCAGGCCAUGUGUGAUGUCACACAUUUAUUAAAAAAAUAUUGUAUAAUUUAUUUAUUAUUUCUUUAGUAAAAUUUAAAAAUAAUUUUCAAAAAUUUGUAAAACAUUUCAAUUAGUUUUAUGUCAAAAUAAGACGAAUUGCGUAUCUCCUGAUUCUGUUGUUCGAAUGUUUAAUAGGCAACUUGACUGGGCCGGCUUAUUCAAUAGGCACAACCACCACACAGAUUUCAAUGACGAAAUAAUUGGACUGUUCCAUUUUUAGUUAGUAAAGGGUUGAAAGAAAAUCUAAAUUAUAAUUUUGUUUUUAUUAGAGGUUAACACGUGGAUAAAUAUUCAUACUGCUCAUCGUAACAACCCUACAGUUAUAAAAGCCUGUAAUGUGAAAGUUUUUUUACCAGUAAGUGAAAUUUUAAUACGGUUUAAUAGUGAAUUGAGUUUUAGAUAAAAUUUAAAUUAAGUAUUAACUUUAAAAAAAAUGUUCGAAAGUGUGAGUUUGUGACGUACUUUAGGGAAGGGGGUCAAAGAUUUUGUAACAGUUUGUGACAUGCCGGGGAAAAAAUGGUAAAAAAAGCGUGACAUGCUUUAUCAACGACCCCUUGGUGUGAAAUUCACACUCAUGUUUAAAGCGUUAGAUUUCAGAAAUGUAUUACACUUUAUUAAGAAGUAAAAGCAACCUUUGAAACUAAAAAACCUUUAUUAUGAAAUGUAACAUAAAGUAUGACUGUAGAGGAAGUUUGAUUUCAAAGAGAAAAUACUACUAUGGUUAUAUGUCAGUAACUGACAUAUAACCUACUAGUAUUUUCUCUUUGAAAUCAAACCUCCUCUAUAGGCCAGUUCAUUGUUAUUGUUUUGAUUCCCGAUUUUCGCGCAUGCGCAAUGCACUGGUAGUCAAAAAGCAUUGCUUACAGCUAACGCAAAGCAUAUGGAUAACGAGACUUGUUUAGUCAAUACAUCGAAAAGAAACUUAAAAAACAACACCUAAAUAAUAUUUAAAAAAUAUAAUGUUCAGUGCCAAAAGAAUGCAUUAACACAUUUAUUUGCAUUUUAAAAGAACGCGUCAUUAGCAUAAAAGUAAUUCAGAUUGUCUGAAGACUGAACGACAGACAAUUCGACGCAACAAAGAGCUCUAUGCAUUAGCCGUAUAAUUAUUUGCAGAAAAGCUUCAAUAAAAAUAAUGAUACAUCUAAUUAUAAAAUUAUAAUUAUCAAUUGCAUGCGUAAACUAGAAUAAUAAAAAAUUAGUGAUAGCCAGAAUGUGUCAGUGUUUCAUUGAAAAUAAACGUACUACAAAGCCCUAUUAAAAACGAAGUUCAUGACGGUAUUUACAUGUAAUUUUAAUUUGGAUGAGUGUUGUUCAGAGAAUGACUUGAAGAAUAUUAACAUUUAACUGAAAAACACAACCUCACAUGAUGCAAAUUGAACUGUGUAUUCAUGUAUUUUGUAAACUCGUUACUAGUGAUCGAGUAUGAGUGACAAUUAUCUAACAUUUAACACACACGCACAAACACACACACACACACACACACACACACACACAACAUAAUAUAUAUACAUAUAUAAUAUAAUAUUAAACAUUGUUUCAUUAUUAUUUACCCCCAUUGAUGUCAAACGUAAUUUCUUGUUUUAUGAUGUAUUUCGUGCAUUGCCGUAACAUUACAUCUUCAUACUGAAUGACGUAUUUAUAAUUAACCGAUGCCCGCUAAAUACGUUAAAUAUUUUUUAUUUACAUUUUAUAAUUCAUAAAUACUUUAUUUUUUUAUAAAUAAAACGGGCCUUUUUCUUUACCGUGUUCAAUUUCUGAUAAUCUAUAGACUUCAAAUUUGUACAAUAAUUAUGUAACAUAUCUAAUUUAAGCAACUGUUAAGUAUGUCGGUGGUAAAUUUAUUCAACCAAAUGCCUAGUUACUUAAUACUACCAGAAUGAAGACAUGGUGGCAUCAUCAAUUGCAUUUAAUGACCAGACUGUCAUCUGCCACCUAGUGUGAUUUAUGACACCAUGUUGUUAGUUAGGUCUGGACAAUAUCUGAUCAAAACGAGAUAAUCGGAUUAGGCAGAACAAAGGGGCAAUAAAACACCGGUAUACAAAGGCUUAAACGAUUUUAAGAUAGAUGCAAACAAUCAAAUGAAAACUAUUGCAUUUAAUUUAAUUAAAUGUUUAUUUAAUGUGUCAACAUGUUAGUUUUCCCGGACCAGGGUAAAGGUCCCUGCCCAGACAUUAUGGUUAAUUUGUAAAUGUUUUUUAUUUGGAUUUGAUCUAUUUAUUCAUUGUGUUCAAUCUUAUUUGUUUCAGUAACAUAGAACAACUUGUUGGCAUGUUGAAAAAUAAAAUCAAAAUAUAAUCGUUUAAAUUAAACCGAUCACGCUCUAUUUCUCCCCAUUGAUUGUAUCUUUCUUUUGACUACCAAUAUAGCCCGGAUGUAAACACGCAGGUGCGCGUGACGUCACGCGUGAACUGGUCUAUAUAAAAUUUCAAAGUAAAUUCAUUAUAACAUGUUAAUCAUCUACAAGACAGUUAUCACAGAAAUGUUUAAUAAGCUAUGACUCUAGAGGAGGUUUGAAUUCAAAAGAAAAACACUAUUAUCGUUCAGACCUACGACCUUCUGUAUCAGUUCCAUCCAUUCGCUGUUUCUCUUUCCUUGUCCAAUCAAAAUACGUGUUUCACCCACCAUCAAAAGAUGAAGCAUUGAGAACAAUAGGAAAUUGACAGAUCGGGGAUGUGUGUACAAGGUGAUAAGAAAAUAAUGCCUAGGGGCUUAUUUCCACUGGCGAGUAAAUUAGCGCUAAUCCCCUUGUGUAUCAGGGGCAAUAAAACAAAUCUGCACAUUUGUAUUGGAGGGAAGUGUACUGUGGGCCCUUUCAUGUGAGAAAAUUUGCAGUAGGCCCAUUAUUAAAAAAUCAUAACUUGACAGCCAGCUGGGGGGCCCGGGCCCCUGGGCCCAGUGCCUGGGUACGGGCCUGGACGACACUUCCCGCCUAAACUGGAUUUUGCUAAGAAGAGACUUUAUUGAAACGAAAAUAUAAAAGCGGAAAGUGUCGUCCCUGAUUAGCCCGUGCGGACUGCACAGGCUAAUCUGUGACGACACUUUACGCACAAGCAUUAAAACCUCUUUUCACAGAGCAGGGCCCUUAUGUUUUUGACAAUACGGAGCUCGAGUAAGUCAUGUUUGUGGCAAAUUUAUAAUUUGAUUUGUCGUGGGGGGGGGGGGGGGGGGCUGGAUGUGUUAGGAGAAAACACGUGCUAAUUGAGCGACGUCGGCAAUCAUUACCCAGCUAGGACAGCAUAGACGUCUUCAAACUAGGUGAAGGUUACGUAUAUUAAAUAAUUGACAUUUGCAAUGGUGUACUCUCAACAAAUAAGAAAAUUUAUAUAGUUAAAAGACUCUGGUUGUUAUUUUUUGCGACCUUUGUGCAAGAAAAGCAUUACUGUUAACUGACAAAUCACUUUAAAAUGGGACUACAGAGGGAAACUUGCCUAAAGUCGGGUCACACUCAACUAAAAAGUAGUCGGAACACCGUUGUAAAAACAAGUAUUUUAUAAGUGGCUAUUUCUUUCUUACACAUCAAACCUUAAAUUUAUCUCUUUCAUAUGAAAUUGCCUACAUUAUUCUGUUGAAUAUAUAUAGAGCUGAGAAUGCUCGUAAAGAAAAGGUAUGGUGCACAAAAUUUUGACUAUGUUUUACUUAAGUUGAAGAGUUGACAUUAAAGUACAUGAAUAUU